AUUCUCUGGAAAAUGAAUUUGAAACAGGAAACAGUGAGCAUAAAAGCUGCUGAAUUAUCACAAAACAUGAACUGAAUCAUUAACAUCCUUCAGCAAGGGAACAUGCUGAUAACCAUACAGGAGAAUGUGGUGGAGGAAUAGAAAAAGGAAAUGGACUUCACCAAAUGGAACUCAACCAGAUCUUUGACAGAAUCUCCCAAACUCACAACCCACAAUGGCCAGAAGGGCAACAGCAGCUGGUGCACAGGGAAAAAAAAAAUCACUUACACAGAACCACACCAGAAGAUAUUGUCCAUCCACUGUUCCUUGAGAGGUAGAUGAUGUGUCACCUUCUUGAAUCGCUCCAGCCCAUGUGGUGAAGAGUAUUAGAGGAGAAUUUGCAGCUGGGAAUCAACUGUCAGGACCUGAAUAAAAUUGAAUUUUAAGCAUGGUGGGAUACAUCACAGUUCACCGGCAGAGUCAUACGGGGGAGAAACCAUGGAAGUGUGGGCACUGUGAGGAUGAAUUCAGUUACCCAUCUGAGCUGGAAACUCAUUGACGCACUCAUACUGGGGACAGGCCAUUCAUCUGCUCCAUGUGUGGGAAGGGAUUCACUCCGCUAUCCCAUCUAUUGAUCCACCAGCAUAUUCACACGGGUGAGAGAGCAUUCACCUGCUGUCAGUGUGGGAAAGGAUUUACUUGUUCAUCCCAACUGCUGAAACACCAGCGAGUUCAUAUUGGAGAGAGACCUUUUAACUGCUCAGACUGCAGGAAGUGCUAUAAAAGUUCCAGCGAUCUGAUGGACCAUCAACUUGUUCACACCAACGAGAGACUGUUCAGGUGCUCUGAAUGCAGGACUGGGUUCAAGAGAUCAUCUCAACACACCGUACACCAGCAAACUCACUGGGGAGAGGCCGUUCAUGUGCUCUGACUGUGGCAACGGAUUCACUCAGCUAUCUGACCUCUCAAUACACAGGCAAAUUCACACUGGGGAGAGACCUUUUCAAUGCUUGGACUGUGGGAAGCGUUAUAAAAGCUAUGGGGAAUUGAUGCUCCAUCAUCAAGCUCACACUGGGGAGAAACCCUUUCAAUGCCCAACCUGCGGGAAGUGUUUUAAAAGUUCCAGUGAUCUGAUGUCCCAUCAACAUGUUCACACUGAUGAAAGACCUUUUAAAUGCCCAGACUGCAAGAACAGCUAUAAAAGCUCUGGAGAUGUGUUGCGACAUCAAUGUGCUCACUGACGAGAGACUGUUCAGGUGCUCUCCCUGUGGGACUGGGUUCAGAUGAUCUUCGCAACUCAUUGAACACCAGCGAAUUCACACUGGGGAGAGGCCAUUCACCCACUCUGAGUGCAGAAAGGGAUUCACUCGAUCGUUGCUUUUGCUCACACACCAGCGAGUUUACACUGGAGAAAGACCUUUCAAAUGCACAGAUUGUACAAAGUGCUCAAAGUUCUAACUAAUGCGUCAUCAACACACUCACACUCUUGAGACCUUUUAAAUGCUCAGACUGUGAGAAAUGCUUCAAAACUUCUGGGGAUCUGAUUUACCAUCAACGUGUUCACACUGAUGACAGACCUUUCAGGUGCUCUCACUGCAGUACUGGGUUCAGGCAAUUAUCUCAUCUCACUACACACUGGAGAACUCAUACUGGGGAGAGGCCGUUUACCUGCUCCCAAUGUGGGAAGGGAUUUAGUCAGAAAUCUAACCUGCUGAGACACCAGCAAGUUCACAAGAAAUUACACUGAUUGCAUUCUGCUGUUCAUUACACCCAGGACUGAAGCAAACAAAGUAGUCUAUUUCUGAUGUUAAUAACUGCCAGUCUAAUUCUCAGGACUAAUGUUCUAGUGAGCAGUCUAAUGAAUCAGCUUUCAAUCAGUUGUUCUUUUGAAAAGCUCUCCUUCUAAACCAUCUCUUCCCUCCUUCAAUGAAAAAUGUACGGAGUGCAGAGAGCUGAUUCCUUACUAGGGUUUAGACAACCCAAUUAGCUGCCUCUGCAGCUUCCCUCUUUUCUGAGAACUCACCGGGCUAAACUGUUGCUGAAGAUAACAUGUUGGCAAAGCGCUGAACCUGCAUUUUCUCCAGUGUUCUCCUCGCUCCCAUCAUGCCCGUCAAAGCUCAUCUCGUCCAAAAGACCCACCUUCCGGUCCAUUCCCACUAAACAUCCAACUUCAUGUUAACUGAUAUUGUUAACUUGUGUUUUUUUUUUUUUUUUUUUUUUUUGAAGUAAGUUUUAUUUCUGGCUGGUGAACUGCAGGACGAUUGUCGGGAACAGCAAGGUUUUGUUGGCUGAAAGAUUAAUCGUAUUAGUAAAGAUUUGGUCAAUGGGCUGAAGAGUGGCAAAUGGAGUUUAAUUUGGAAAAAUGUGAGAUAUUAUAUUUUGGUUUUUAUAAAAGGGGCAGGACUUAUCCAGUUAAAAGUAGUGCCUUGGGGUUCAGGUACAUAAAUAUUUGAAGUUUGCAUCCACAGACAGGGUGGUUAAGAAGGUGUUUAGC
Rhincodon typus (whale shark) is the source of this 2473-nucleotide long non-coding RNA. RefSeq lists it as uncharacterized. The record is from RefSeq and is a predicted model, not a curated record. The transcript has 3 exons. NCBI's taxonomy places the organism in Eukaryota, Metazoa, Chordata, Chondrichthyes, Orectolobiformes, Rhincodontidae.